This 253-nucleotide ribosomal RNA is filed under the name uncultured bacterium. Its description in RNAcentral is "partial 16S ribosomal RNA". It matches the Rfam family "Bacterial small subunit ribosomal RNA", at positions 524 to 776 of the family's 1533-position model. The record is from RNAcentral.
UACGUAGGGUGCGAGCGUUGUCCGGAAUUACUGGGCGUAAAGAGCUUGUAGGCGGUUCGUCGCGUCGAUCGUGAAAACUUGCGGCUCAACUAUGAGCGUGCGGUCGAUACGGGCGGACUAGAGUGCUUCAGGGGAGACUGGAAUUCCUGGUGUAGCGGUGAAAUGCGCAGAUAUCAGGAGGAACACCGGUGGCGAAGGCGGGUCUCUGGGAAGUAACUGACGCUGAGAAGCGAAAGCAUGGGUAGCGAACAGG